GCCUCCCGCUCCUCCGGCCCGAGCCCAGUCCUCCUCCUGGGCGCCGUUGGCUGGACUCCGGCGGGACAGGGAAAGAAGCCCACCCCGGGGUGGCCUGACACGCUGGAGACCUGGAGAAGAAAGCAGUUCAAGUCCAGAGGCAGUCUGCAUGCAGAAUUCCUUCGUCAUCAGAGGUCA
This is a long non-coding RNA of Suricata suricatta (meerkat), 177 nucleotides long. RefSeq lists it as uncharacterized. NCBI's taxonomy places the organism in Eukaryota, Metazoa, Chordata, Mammalia, Carnivora, Herpestidae. The record is from RefSeq and is a predicted model, not a curated record. The transcript is spliced from 2 exons.